Molecule: ribosomal RNA, 305 nt
Filed under: uncultured bacterium
Lineage: Bacteria
Description: bacterial SSU rRNA
Rfam family: Bacterial small subunit ribosomal RNA
Source: RNAcentral
CCUACGGGGGGCAGCAGUGGGGAAUAUUGGGCAAUGGGCGCAAGCCUGACCCAGCAACGCCGCGUGAAGGAAGAAGGCUUUCGGGUUGUAAACUUCUUUUGUCAGGGACGAAGCAAGUGACGGUACCUGAAGAAUAAGCUCCGGCUAACUACGUGCCAGCAGCCGCGGUAAUACGUAGGGAGCAAGCGUUAUCCGGAUUUACUGGGUGUAAAGGGCGUGUAGGCGGGCCUGCAAGUCAGAAGUGAAAUCGGGGGGCUUAACCCCUAAACUGCUUUUGAAACUGGGGGUCUUGAGUGAUGGAGAGG